AUGGGGAACGGGCCAUAGGUUAAGAGCCAUCUUCCCUGCCACGAGUGUGUGGGUAUAGUCAAACAGGUUGACGUUGCCCCAUGCUAGAGGACAGUGCUCCUAAAAUGUAAACACAAAGCAGAUGGAGAGGCAGAGCCGGGCAGCACGGGGGAUGUCUGGAAUGUACAUGUCGUAGCUCAGCCACUCGUUCCACCUGGAAGGAACAGAGACGAAAACAUUUCCAAAAUCAAAACACUGCAGCUGAGCAAGGCGAGAGCUACCUGAGAGCAACACCAUCUGAUGGACUCCCAGUUGUGUACUACCUGGGGUUUGAGCACGGCACGCGCUGAGUGUUUACAUUGUCACACAGCUGCUCCCCUCCAUGGUAUAUCCCUGUCCUGACGUAGAUCUAGAACAGCAACAAGGACAAUACAAUUCUACAGUUAUCUAUCUUAUGAGAAAGAUCUCUCUCACUUCAUUUCUGACUGGAUGAAGUGAAGGACAAUAUAAAAUAUCUUCCAGUAUCCCAAAGCUUACUAAAGAUAAGCAUGCC
Molecule: long non-coding RNA, 532 nt
Organism: Myripristis murdjan (pinecone soldierfish)
Lineage: Eukaryota; Metazoa; Chordata; Actinopteri; Holocentriformes; Holocentridae
Exons: 2
Source: RefSeq, a predicted model, not a curated record